Molecule: ribosomal RNA, 172 nt
Filed under: Mycolicibacterium fortuitum
Lineage: Bacteria; Bacillati; Actinomycetota; Actinomycetes; Mycobacteriales; Mycobacteriaceae
Description: partial 16S ribosomal RNA
Rfam family: Bacterial small subunit ribosomal RNA
Source: RNAcentral
AGUCGAACGGAAAGGCCCUUCGGGGUAACUCGAGUGGCGAACGGGUGAGUAACACGUGGGUGAUCUGCCCUGCACUUUGGGAUAAGCCUGGGAAACUGGGUCUAAUACCGAAUAUGACCGCGCUCUUCAUGGGGUGUGGUGGAAAGCUUUUGCGGUGUGGGAUGGGCCCGCG